GAUGAAGAACGUAGCGAAAUGCGAUAAGUAAUGUGAAUUGCAGAAUUCAGUGAAUCAUCGAAUCUUUGAACGCGCAUUGCGCCCCUUGGUAUUCCGAGGGGCAUGCCUGUUCGAGCGCCAUUUAAACCAAUCUAGCUUGCUAGGUCUUGGGCUUUCGCCUCUGGGCGGGCCUCAAAAUCAGUGGCGGUGCUGCCGGGCUUUAAGCGUAGUAAUCUUUCUCGCUAUAGGGUCCUGGUAGAGGCUUGCCAACAACUAUAAAUCUUUCAAAGGUUGACCUCGGAUCAGGUAGGGAUACCCGCUGAACUUAAGCAUAUCAAUAAGCGGAGGA
This 328-nucleotide unclassified non-coding RNA is filed under the name soil metagenome. RNAcentral's name for it is "partial contains 5.8S ribosomal RNA, internal transcribed spacer 2, and large subunit ribosomal RNA". The stretch from base 1 to 120 matches the Rfam family "5.8S ribosomal RNA", at positions 35 to 154 of the family's 154-position model. The record is from RNAcentral.